This is a long non-coding RNA of Drosophila obscura, 707 nucleotides long. RefSeq lists it as uncharacterized. The transcript has 3 exons. NCBI's taxonomy places the organism in Eukaryota, Metazoa, Arthropoda, Insecta, Diptera, Drosophilidae. The record is from RefSeq and is a predicted model, not a curated record.
AAAAAAAAAAUACUAAUCUAAUCAGAGAAAAAUUUAUAAAAAUCGUGAACAAAAAUUAUAAUAAAAAAUCAAAAGCCGAAAUCAAAAAAAUUAUUUUAAUUGGAGUAUACUAAUUUUGGAUAAUAAAACUUCAUUUCUUUACGCAACAAAUGCCUUCAGUGUGCCAUCAAGUAUCCUACAGCAGCGACCAGGAUGAAAAGGGGAAGUGAAAUGUUACGUGUUGAAUGUUCAGUCUCUUGUUCCCUCUGAAGGAGUACGUCUGUGACGAUAAUGUGGGAUUCCCUGGAGUAACUGAGCUAUAAAUGGCCAUGGUCGAGUUGCGGACGCAUGUCACAUUUGCAGGGAGAAUUCGUUUCCAACGCUGAUUGUUGUACAUUUUGGUGUGUCUUCGAUGGAGCGAUGGAGCGACGCACAACAAGAAGAUCCUUUCUUAUUCACUCCCAAAUGAAUUUGAAAUUAGUGCUGCUUUGGCAUAGCGCGUCUUCUAGAGAUUCCAGCGGACUACAAAACUUCCUUUAAACUAGAGAGAUAUAUUCGUUUUCCAGCUCCCAAACAUAGGAAGACAGACUGACUUCCCGCCUCUGCCUUCUGUUGAAACUACAUAAAAAAAUAUACAUUUCGUUUCCCCAUCGAUGCCUGCGACGCGAUUUCACUCUGCCUUUGAAGUAGCUUGAAAAUAAAUCCAGCGAUCAGAAGGAUGUAGCAAA